GUGACUUUCUCUUCGGAGCACUGGACACAGGUGCUGCAUGGCUGUCGUCAGCUCGUGUCGUGAGAUGUUGGGUUAAGUCCCGCAACGAGCGCAACCCUUAUCUCCUGUUGCCAGCAUUCAGUUGGGCACUCAGGCGAAACUGCCGGUGAUAAGCCGGAGGAAGGUGGGGACGACGUCAAGUCCUCAUGGCCCUUAUGUCCAGGGCUACACACGUGCUACAAUGGUCGGUACAGAGUGACGCGAAGCCGCGAGGUGGAGCAAAUCGCAGAAAGCCGGCCUUAGUUCGGAUUGGAGUCUGAAACUCGACUCCAUGAAGGUGGAAUCGCUAGUAAUCGCGCAUCAGCAUGGCGCGGUGAAUACGUUCCCGGGCCUU
RNAcentral lists this ribosomal RNA (373 nucleotides) under uncultured Methylobacteriaceae bacterium. Its description in RNAcentral is "bacterial SSU rRNA". It matches the Rfam family "Bacterial small subunit ribosomal RNA", at positions 1008 to 1382 of the family's 1533-position model. Lineage: Bacteria; Pseudomonadati; Pseudomonadota; Alphaproteobacteria; Hyphomicrobiales; Methylobacteriaceae. The record is from RNAcentral.